This 73-nucleotide transfer RNA is filed under the name Toxarium undulatum. RNAcentral describes it as "tRNA-Lys". It matches the Rfam family "tRNA". Rfam says of the family: Transfer RNA (tRNA) molecules are approximately 80 nucleotides in length. Their secondary structure includes four short double-helical elements and three loops (D, anti-codon, and T loops). The record is from RNAcentral. Lineage: Eukaryota; Bacillariophyta; Thalassiosirophyceae; Ardissoneales; Ardissoneaceae.
GAGUGCGUAGCUCAGCUGGUAGAGCAUUGGACUUUUAAUCCACAGGUCUUGGGUUCAAGCCCCAACACACUCA